AGGGAAUCUUCCGCAAUGGACGAAAGUCUGACGGAGCAACGCCGCGUGAGUGAUGAAGGUUUUCGGAUCGUAAAGCCCUGUUGCCAGGGAAGAACGUCCUGUAGAGUAACUGCUACAGGAGUGACGGUACCUGAGAAGAAAGCCCCGGCUAACUACGUGCCGGCAGCCGCGGUAAUACGUAGGGGGCGAGCGUUGUCCGGAAUUAUUGGGCGUAAAGCGCGCGCAGGCGGCUGUUUAAGUCUGGUGUUUAAUCCUGGGGCUCAGCCCCGGGUCGCACUGGAAACUGGACAGCUUGAGUGCAGAAGAGGAGAGUGGAAUUCCACGUGUAGCGGUGAAAUGCGUAGAGAUGUGGAGGAACACCAGUGGCGAAGGCGACUCUCUGGGCUGUAACUGACGCUGAGGCGCGAAAGCGUGGGGAGCAAAC
Molecule: ribosomal RNA, 424 nt
Filed under: uncultured bacterium
Lineage: Bacteria
Description: bacterial SSU rRNA
Rfam family: Bacterial small subunit ribosomal RNA
Source: RNAcentral